UGGGGAGGCAGCGCUGUUGGAAU
Molecule: microRNA, 23 nt
Filed under: Danio rerio (zebrafish)
Lineage: Eukaryota; Metazoa; Chordata; Actinopteri; Cypriniformes; Danionidae
Description: dre-miR-139-3p
Gene: dre-miR-139-3p
Source: miRBase by way of RNAcentral